GGGUCAGUAGGUUGGUCGUGCCACCGGUACGUACUGGUCUCACUGAUUCCUCCUUCCUGAAGAACCGUAAUGCCAUUAAUUUGGUGUUGCGGGGAAACAGGACUGUUACUUUGAAAAAAUUAGAGUGUUUAAAGCAAGCUAACGCUUGAAUACAUUAGCAUGGAAUAAUGAAAUAGGACGAUCGAUCCUAUUUUGUUGGUUUCUAGGAUUGACGUAAUGUUUAAAUAGGGAUAGUUGGG
Molecule: ribosomal RNA, 239 nt
Filed under: Glomeromycotina sp.
Lineage: Eukaryota; Fungi; Glomeromycota
Description: partial small subunit ribosomal RNA
Rfam family: Eukaryotic small subunit ribosomal RNA (bases 40-239)
Source: RNAcentral